This is a long non-coding RNA of Pyrgilauda ruficollis (rufous-necked snowfinch), 630 nucleotides long. RefSeq lists it as uncharacterized. The transcript is spliced from 4 exons. Lineage: Eukaryota; Metazoa; Chordata; Aves; Passeriformes; Passeridae. The record is from RefSeq and is a predicted model, not a curated record.
CAUCGCCCUUUCUGCGGGCGCGGGGCAGCGGGAGCGGAGGUUCCGUUGUGCCUCUGAGGGACCGGGACUGGAUCCUGAACCGGCCUCGGCCUCUCCCGGCGGGGCCAGCGGGACGCCCUGCGUCCCUCAGGCGCAGGAAGCCGGUGCAGGUGGAGGCGGCUCCACCGCUGCGCCUUCCCCCGCCAUGUUGUGGCGCGGCUCCCUCAGGGCCGGUGCCGCUUCCCGCCGGCCCCGGCCCCGAGCGGCUGCGGCGGGAGGACACGAGCGAGCCUGGCAGUGGACAAAACAAUGAAGUGACCAGGAUGGUGUGACUUCAGGAAUGAAGGGUGAUCCUGCAGGAAAGGGCUGCCCAAGCAAGCUUCAGCCACCUUGCUCAGUAGGCAGCCCUGAGCCCAGGCACACCAGAGGAGCCCUGCCCAGGUGAGCUGCAGUGCUGGGAGCUGCCAGCUCCUGUUGCAGAUUAUGCCUUGAGCUGCAGAAUGUCUGACAAACUGAGAACUGGUUGGCAGCAUCCACGUCUGAUGGCUUGGAGAUUCCUAAAACUUGAUCAUCUGUGUUUUCUCUACAUGGUUAAGAAGGAUUUAAAUAAAAAAAAAACCAAAAACCUAAAUAAAGAUGCCACCUACAAGA